AUGGAUGUUUCCGAGAGAGGGAGAAAAAAGACCCGGGCUUUGUUUUGCAUUUUGGUUUGUGUGUGUCCAUAUGUGAAGACACAGGUGUGGGAUUCCCUCAAGGGAGGAAUUGCUGGGUCAUAUGAUAUUCUGAUUUUCCAGUACGUUUUCAGAUCGAAAAUUAUUGGAAGAAACUGA
Molecule: long non-coding RNA, 177 nt
Filed under: Mustela putorius furo (domestic ferret)
Lineage: Eukaryota; Metazoa; Chordata; Mammalia; Carnivora; Mustelidae
Description: lncRNA (ENSMPUG00000024829.1)
Source: RNAcentral